GAGAGAUGUGUGAUGACGCAUAUCAAUAAGCGGAGGAAAAGUAACUAACAAGGAUUCCCUUAGUAACGGCGAGUGAAGCGGGAAGAGCUCAAAUUUGAAAUCUUCAAGGUUCUACCUUGACGAAUUGUAGUUUAUAGAAGUGUUUUCUGUUAGUGGAGUGGCAAAAGUUCUUUGGAAUAGGACAUCAUAGAGGGUGAGAAUCCCGUAUUUGGUCAUUCCUCCUAGCGUUGUGAUACACUUUCAACGAGUCGGAUUGUUUGGGAAUGCAGUCCAAAAUGGGUGGUAAAUUUCAUCUAAAGCUAAAUAUUGGCGAGAGACCGAUAGCGAACAAGUACCGUGAGGGAAAGAUGAAAAGAACUUUGAAAAGAGAGUUAAACAGUACGUGAAAUUGUCAAAAGGGAAGCGUUUGACACCAGUGUUGUUUUUCCGAAAAUCAAUUACGAAUGUUUUGUUUUUAAGAAGUUAUGACUUCAUCGGCUUGCUUCUUUCUUUACGAAACUUUCUUAAUGCACUUUUCGGUUAACAAGUCAACAUCAAUUUCUUUUGUUGUAAAAGGGUAUGAGGAAGGUGGCUUUCUUUUCGGAGAAAGUGUUUAUAACCUUGUACCUCUGCAAUCGGAGAGAUUGAGGUCUGCAGCGUAGAUCCUUCGGGGUUAGAUACAUUUGUGCUAAGCUAUAGCCUUGUAUAGACAACUUGUUGACUAUGUUUAGUCUUGUAGCUUACUCGCUUAUGCUAUUUUACCUACGCUUAGGAUGUUGAGUCGUAGAGCACGCAG
RNAcentral lists this ribosomal RNA (775 nucleotides) under uncultured Neocallimastigales. RNAcentral's name for it is "partial large subunit ribosomal RNA". It matches the Rfam family "Eukaryotic large subunit ribosomal RNA", at positions 23 to 634 of the family's 3401-position model. Lineage: Eukaryota; Fungi; Neocallimastigomycota; Neocallimastigomycetes; Neocallimastigales. The record is from RNAcentral.